CGGCACGGGUGAGUAACACGUAUGCAACCUGCCUGCCACAGCCGGAUAAUCGGGAGAAAUUCCGUCUAAUACGGCAUAAUGCAUCGACGGACAUCCUGUUGGUGCCAAAGGUUAAUUCCGGUGGCGGAUGGGCAUGCGUCGCAUUAGUUAGUUGGCGGUGUAACGGACCACCAAGACGACGAUGCGUAGGGGUUCUGAGAGGAAGGUCCCCCACACUGGUACUGAGACACGGACCAGACUCCUACGGGAGGCAGCAG
RNAcentral lists this ribosomal RNA (257 nucleotides) under uncultured bacterium. RNAcentral's name for it is "partial 16S ribosomal RNA". It matches the Rfam family "Bacterial small subunit ribosomal RNA", at positions 98 to 354 of the family's 1533-position model. The record is from RNAcentral.